CACUACAGCACUUUCACGUGAAAAACAAAGAGAGAACGUGUGAGAGAAGAGAAGGGAGCCGCCGCCCAAGCCACCACCAUUGUCGCCGGUCACGCGCGCGAGCAAGGGGGAGAGCGCGAAUAGAGAGGGUUUCGCGAAGGAGAAGGAAGGUGAAGGAGACUUGGACAGCAAGAGAUUGUUCUUCCAAACUUCAUUCUCUUCUUCUUUUCAGACCAAGAACCCAAGAUGGUCGUGAAGAUAAUGGCGAUGACUCAUUCUUGGGAGUUGAUGCUACGUGACGUGCCAAUACCGGAGGACGACUACACUUCAGAGGAAGAGGAAGAGACUAAGGAAUAGGGUUUUGGUUGAGAGUCUUUUGUUUUCUGUUGGGGUUGAGAGUUUCCGAAGUGUUGGUAUCGAACAAUUUUAUUGCUUAAAUUCGAAUGAACAAGUUUUGAUGUAAUCUUUAUUUUCAUUCAGGCCUUUGA
Lotus japonicus is the source of this 467-nucleotide long non-coding RNA. RefSeq lists it as uncharacterized. NCBI's taxonomy places the organism in Eukaryota, Viridiplantae, Streptophyta, Magnoliopsida, Fabales, Fabaceae. The transcript has 2 exons. The record is from RefSeq and is a predicted model, not a curated record.